Molecule: ribosomal RNA, 236 nt
Filed under: uncultured bacterium
Lineage: Bacteria
Description: partial 16S ribosomal RNA
Rfam family: Bacterial small subunit ribosomal RNA
Source: RNAcentral
GAUCAUGGCUCAGGACGAACGCUGGCGGCGUGCCUAAUACAUGCAAGUAGAACGCUGAAGAGAGGAGCUUGCUCUUCUUGGAUGAGUUGCGAACGGGUGAGUAACGCGUAGGUAACCUGCCUUGUAGCGGGGGAUAACUAUUGGAAACGAUAGCUAAUACCGCAUAACAAUGGAUGACCCAUGUCAUUUAUUUGAAAGGGGUCAAAUGCUCCACUACAAGAUGGACCUGCGUUGUA